Long non-coding RNA from Lolium rigidum, 2256 nucleotides. RefSeq lists it as uncharacterized. The transcript has 3 exons. The record is from RefSeq and is a predicted model, not a curated record. Lineage: Eukaryota; Viridiplantae; Streptophyta; Magnoliopsida; Poales; Poaceae.
UCCUUCUGUCUCUCCAUGGUUCAAUCGUCAAUCUGAUUGUUAGUUUGUUUGCUCUCUGACACAUAAGUUUUUGUUAGUUCGAUUGCAAGCUGUUUUGGUCUGAGUGAAUGCUUAAUAAAUUGAGAAAACUGAACUGUCUGUUUUAGCUCCAGCGUGGGGUCUUUUGGCAUGAGAAUCUGCAUAUCUUUUUGUUUAACUACCUGUUAGGAUAAAAUCUUAUAUUGGCUAAAUCACAUGUUUACUUGUAUGAUGUACUACUAAAUUUAGCACAGACGUUGUCAUCUCUUAAGUAAGGAAGUAUAUGGCUGAAGCUAAUAUUAACUCUGAAAUCUAGUACUAAAUCCAGUAGACAUGUGUUAAAUCUUUUGUUGGCUGAAGCUAAUAUUUACUUGUUGGUAUGAUUGUCUAUAUACUGUGCAGUUUCAUGUGCAUGUAAAAAUCACAGAAAGGGGUUCAGUUGACUUUGCAAGUCUUGGCAAGAGAGAGAGGUAUAAUUGAGAGCUUCAGGUUUAGACUGUACUCAAGGAGGGUCUUGCUCUGCAGUUGGUAACCUGACAAGAGUGGAGGGUCUUUAAAAAGUCUGCUUUGAGCUAUAAAUAAUCGGAGCUUUCGCGUCUCACAGAUGACAUGAGUAAGCGGCUGCCAAUCAUGUAAAGAAGGGAGGAGGAGUUCAACAUGGGGCCUCUGUCCGCUCUCAUGUUGAGCGUCAAGAACAUUACUCAGGUUGAUGAACUUCUUUCUUGUUUUGAAACCCAAGUUGACCAAUGGCUUGAAUUUUCAUUGUGUUGUCUGCAUCUUUUCCAGAAUUGAACACCUGCUGGUGUUCUUCUUGCGUGUACACUGGCUAAAAAUUAGUUGACAUCAUAUUGUACUAAAAGAGUCAUGCUUUGAUAUAUUCAGGUUUAGACUACUGAAGGAGAGUAAUGUUCUGCAGUUGGUAACCUGACAAGAGUAGAUGGUCUUUAAAAAGUCUGCUUUGAGCUAUAAAUAGUGUGAGGCUCUGCUUUAGAUUUCAGUUUCAGGUUUUAGCAUGACUGCAGUCGCUAAAUUUGAAUUACCCAGCUGCUAAUUGUGUGUUAAAAACGAGCUACUUUGGUCAUACUAGUACCAUCAUUAUACUUAUAUAAUGUUGGUUUGCGUGUAAGUCUUAUAUUGUUCUGAAUUCGUCAUCUUUAGCUAUUAAAUCAUUUUCUUUUCUGGCCUUCAAUUAGCGGAGCUUUUGCGUCUCACCGAUGAUGGAGUAAGUGUAAGGAUUGUUUCUUCCUCUGUUUAUUCAUCUGGCUCCAGGAGCUAGCCCUUGUUCAGAUGCAUUAAUGUGAUAAUAAAAGCAACACCACUCUAGUUAAGACUUAAGAUGAUUAAGCAUUCAGAUGAAAUAGCGUACCAGUGUUUCAGUUUUGGCCCACCUCUCAUCCCAGUCCUUGCAUUAUUUGCUUGGGUAAAUCCCCUGAUCCGAAUUGGCCAAUGUCCACAUGCUCUUUUGUUUGCUGCUGGUCUUGAAUGGCAGCAGUCUGGUUACACAUGGACUUUGGUAGUACUUUUUCCUGUCCCAUUUCUUCUUUGAUUAACAUCUAGAGGCAGGCUUCUCCUUUAUAGACCAUCGAACCAACGUACUGGUCUAUGAAUCCAAGUAACUGUUUUGGCUGAGCUAGUUGGGCUUUGGUGUGUUCAUUUCUUGUCUCUACAUCUCAUGCAUAUGCAGCGUCUUUUGAAUUCAACUGCUAUUGUUGUGCGCUCAAAUACCCUUUUUUUCUCAUGCAAAUAUACGUAGGAUUAUCUAGAUGAUUUUUUAAUACUGUACUAUGGAUUCAGCUGCUAUUUGUAUCAUGCUUUGAGCUCACUUCUUGUGGUACUGAUUUAAUUCACAAUGCUUCUGCAUUUUAUUUCUGUUACUGAUAUAUGAUGUUUCUUACUUGCAAGGUUUAGAAGCCUGUGAGCGUAGGAUACUGAUGUCUCCAUUGAGAGCUUUCCAUGCUCUCAUACAUGAAUUUGGACCUUUACCCCACUGUUGCUGCCGUGUGAUGUUUAGAAAGGAAGGAUCUGGGUUGAUCCUUUCACUUUGUGUAUCUAUGUAAUCUGCUCUGAACAGCCUCGCCGACUGGUCUACGCGACCAUUUCUGCUUCGGAGUGCUUUAGAGGGCCUGGAGUUGUAAUAUUAUUUCUGUUUGGUUGAACUCUUGAUGGAGGUAGGCUUCUCUGUAUGAAUGUCACGUUAGUGCUCUAUGCACCUGUUUUGGUAAAGAAUACAAUCUGUGA